Molecule: ribosomal RNA, 433 nt
Filed under: uncultured Denitrobacterium sp.
Lineage: Bacteria; Bacillati; Actinomycetota; Coriobacteriia; Eggerthellales; Eggerthellaceae
Description: partial 16S ribosomal RNA
Rfam family: Bacterial small subunit ribosomal RNA
Source: RNAcentral
ACGGGAGGCAGCAGUGGGGGAUAUUGCACAAUGGGGGAAACCCUGAUGCAGCGACGCCGCGUGAGUGAUGAAGUAUUUCGGUAUGUAAAGCUCUAUCAGCAGGAAAGAUAAUGACGGUACCUGACUAAGAAGCACCGGCUAACUACGUGCCAGCAGCCGCGGUAAUACGUAGGGAGCGAGCGUUAUCCGGAUUCAUUGGGCGUAAAGCGCGCGUAGGCGGACCGUUAAGCGGGAUGUUAAAGCCCGGGGCUCAACCCCGGCCCGCAUCCCGAACUGGCGGUCUUGAGUUCGGUAGGGGAGGACGGAAUUCCCAGUGUAGCGGUGAAAUGCGCAGAUAUUGGGAAGAACACCGAUGGCGAAAGCAGUCCUCUGGGCCGCAACUGACGCUGAGGCGCGAAAGCUGGGGGAGCGAACAGGAUUAGAUACCCUGGUA